AAUCAACGCUGGCGGCGUGCCUCAGACAUGCAAGUCGAACGAUUAAAGCUCUCUUCGGAGAGUGUAUAGAGUGGCGCACGGGUGAGUAACACGUAAGUAAUCUACCUUCGAGUGGGGAAUAACGUCCGGAAACGGACGCUAAUACCGCAUAAUGCAGCGGCAUCGCAAGAUGACAGUUGUUAAAGAUUUAUCGCUUGAAGAGGAGCUUGCGGCAGAUAGCUAGUUGGUAAGGUAAUGGCUUACCAAGGCUACGAUCUGUAACCGGUCUAAGAGGACGGUCGGUCACACUGACACUGAAUAACGGGUCAGACUCCUACGGGAGGCAGCAGUCGGGAAUUUUGGGC
Molecule: ribosomal RNA, 344 nt
Filed under: uncultured bacterium
Lineage: Bacteria
Description: bacterial SSU rRNA
Rfam family: Bacterial small subunit ribosomal RNA
Source: RNAcentral